This 329-nucleotide unclassified non-coding RNA is filed under the name soil metagenome. RNAcentral's name for it is "partial contains 5.8S ribosomal RNA, internal transcribed spacer 2, and large subunit ribosomal RNA". The stretch from base 1 to 120 matches the Rfam family "5.8S ribosomal RNA", at positions 35 to 154 of the family's 154-position model. The record is from RNAcentral.
GAUGAAGAACGUAGCGAAAUGCGAUAAGUAGUGUGAAUUGCAGAAUUCAGUGAAUCAUCGAAUCUUUGAACGCACAUUGCGCCCCUUGGUAUCCCGAGGGGCAUGCCUGUUCGAGCGUCAUUUCACCACUCAAGCCUGGCUUGGUGUUGGGCGACGUCCCCUUUAGGGACGCGCCUCGAAACGCUCGGCGGCGUGGCACCGGCUUUAAGCGUAGCAGAAUCUUUCGCUUUGGAAGUCGGGGCCCCGCCUGCCGGAAUACCAACUCGUAAGGUUGACCUCGGAUCAGGCAGGGAUACCCGCUGAACUUAAGCAUAUCAAUAAGCGGAGGA